Molecule: ribosomal RNA, 723 nt
Filed under: Mesobacillus selenatarsenatis
Lineage: Bacteria; Bacillati; Bacillota; Bacilli; Caryophanales; Bacillaceae
Description: bacterial SSU rRNA
Rfam family: Bacterial small subunit ribosomal RNA
Source: RNAcentral
CAUUAGCUUGCUUUUGAAGAUCAGCGGCGGACGGGUGAGUAACACGUGGGCAACCUGCCUGUAAGACUGGGAUAACUUCGGGAAACCGGAGCUAAUACCGGAUAAUCCUUUUCCUCUCAUGAGGAAAAGCUGAAAGACGGUUUCGGCUGUCACUUACAGAUGGGCCCGCGGCGCAUUAGCUAGUUGGUGAGGUAACGGCUCACCAAGGCAACGAUGCGUAGCCGACCUGAGAGGGUGAUCGGCCACACUGGGACUGAGACACGGCCCAGACUCCUACGGGAGGCAGCAGUAGGGAAUCUUCCGCAAUGGACGAAAGUCUGACGGAGCAACGCCGCGUGAGCGAUGAAGGCCUUCGGGUCGUAAAGCUCUGUUGUCAGGGAAGAACAAGUAUCGGAGUAACUGCCGGUACCUUGACGGUACCUGACCAGAAAGCCACGGCUAACUACGUGCCAGCAGCCGCGGUAAUACGUAGGUGGCAAGCGUUGUCCGGAAUUAUUGGGCGUAAAGCGCGCGCAGGCGGUUCCUUAAGUCUGAUGUGAAAGCCCCCGGCUCAACCGGGGAGGGUCAUUGGAAACUGGGGAACUUGAGUGCAGAAGAGGAGAGCGGAAUUCCACGUGUAGCGGUGAAAUGCGUAGAGAUGUGGAGGAACACCAGUGGCGAAGGCGGCUCUCUGGUCUGUAACUGACGCUGAGGCGCGAAAGCGUGGGGAGCGAACAGGAUUAG